AUGUCAGUCAUCUUUCUCCUGCCUCUCUGUUCUUCUCACAUCAGACCGGGCCAUGUCAGUCAUCUUUCUCCUGCCUCUCUGUUCUUCUCAUAUCAGACCGGGCCAUGUCAGUCAUCUUUCUCCUGCUUCUCUGUUCUUCUCAUAUCAGAUCGGGCCAUGUCAGUCAUCUUUCUCCUGCUUCUCUGUUCUUCUCAUAUCAGACCGGGCCAUGUCGGUCAUCUUUCUCCUGCCUCUCUGUUCUUCUCAUAUCAGACCGGGCCAUGUCAGUCAUCUUUCUCCUGCUUCUCUGUUCUUCCCACAUCAGACCGGGCCAUGUCAGUCAUCUUUCUCCUGCCUCUCUGUUCUUCUCACAUCAGACCGGGCCAUGUCAGUCAUCUUUCUCCUGCGUCUCUGUUCUUCCCACAUCAGACCGGGCCAUGUCAGUCAUCUUUCUCCUGCCUCUCUGUUCUUCUCACAUCAGACCGGGCCAUGUCAGUCAUCUUUCUCCUGCUUCUCUGUUCUUCUCACAUCAGACCGGGCCAUGUCAGUCAUCUUUCUCCUGCCUCUCUGUUCUUCUCACAUCAGACCAGGCCAUGUCGGUCAUCUUUCUCCUGCUUCUCUGUUCUUCUCACAUCAGACCGGGCCAUGUUGGUCAUCUUUCUCCUGCCUCUCUGUUCUUCUCAUAUCAGACCGGGCCAUGUCGGUCAUCUUUCUCCUGCCUCUCUGUUCUUCUCAUAUCAGACCGGGCCAUGUCAGUCAUCUUUCUCCUGCCUCUCUGUUCUUCUCACAUCAGACCGGGCCAUGUCAGUCAUCUUUCUCCUGCUUCUCUGUUCUUCUCACAUCAGACCGGGCCAUGUCAGUCAUCUUUCUCCUGCCUCUCUGUUCUUCUCACAUCAGACCGGGCCAUGUCAGUCAUCUUUCUCCUGCUUCUCUGUUCUUCUCACAUCAGACCGGGCCAUGUUGGUCAUCUUUCUCCUGCCUCUCUGUUCUUCUCAUAUCAGACCGGGCCAUGUCGGUCAUCUUUCUCCUGCCUCUCUGUUCUUCUCAUAUCAGACCGGGCCAUGUCGGUCAUCUUUCUCCUGCUUCUCUGUUCUUCCCACAUCAGACCGGGCCAUGUCAGUCAUCUUUCUCCUGUCUCUCUGUUCUUCCCACAUCAGACCGGGCCAUGUCAGUCAUCUUUCUCCUGCCUCUCUGUUCUUCCCACAUCAGACCGGGCCAUGUCAGUCAUAUUUCUCCUGCCUCUCUGUUCUUCCCACAUCAGACCGGGCCAUGUCAGUCAUCUUUCUCCUGCCUCUCUGUUCUUCUCAUAUCAGACCGGGCCAUGUCAGUCAUCUUUCUCCUGCCUCUCUGUUCUUCCCACAUCAGACCAGGCCAUGUCAGUCAUCUUUCUCCUGCUUCUCUGUUCUUCUCACAUCAGACCGGCCAUGUCAGUCAUCUUUCUCCUGCUUCUCUGUUCUUCCCACAUCAGACCGGGCCAUGUCAGUCAUCUUUCUCCUGCUUCUCUGUUCUUCUCAUAUCAGAUCGGGCCAUGUCAGUCAUCUUUCUCCUGCCUCUCUGUUCUUCCUACAUCAGACCGGGCCAUGUCAGUCAUCUUUCUCCUGCCUCUCUGUUCUUCCCACAUCAGACCGGGCAAUGUCAGUCAUAUUUCUCCUGCUUCUCUGUUCUUCUCAUAUCAGACCGGGCCAUGUCAGUCAUAUUUCUCCUGCCUCUCUCUUCUUCCCACAUCAGACCGGGCCAUGUCAGUCAUAUUUCUCCUGCCUCGCUGAUCUUCUCCUCUCCACCUGUCAUCCUUUGGCAUAG
This is a long non-coding RNA of Oncorhynchus mykiss (rainbow trout), 1779 nucleotides long. Lineage: Eukaryota; Metazoa; Chordata; Actinopteri; Salmoniformes; Salmonidae. The record is from Ensembl.